This 228-nucleotide long non-coding RNA is filed under the name Elaeis guineensis (African oil palm). Its description in RNAcentral is "long non-coding RNA (EGUI_LNC036820)". Lineage: Eukaryota; Viridiplantae; Streptophyta; Magnoliopsida; Arecales; Arecaceae. The record is from RNAcentral.
ACUAGAUCAUACAUAAAUUUUACAUUAUUUGAUGCAUCAUUUAGAAGAUAACUUUUACUAUAAAAUAAAGCAUUGCUUAGUCAGAAUAAGAUGACAAACUAUACUAUAACAAUCCAAUCAUGUAUGCAUCGAUCAUGCAGGUCCGAAAAAUGAAUUCAAAGAGCAAUAUAAAAACAAUCAUAGUCAUCAAACACUUGUCAUUUGACAUAUCAUCUUUUUAAUAAUGCU